CCCUUAGAUGUUCUGGGCGGCCCGCGCACUACAUUGGCAAUCUCAAUAAGUUCCUAGAUCUAAAACUUUGGGGUAUUCUAUUAAGUGGUGUCGUGACUGGGAUUAACCCUUGCAAUUAUUGGUUACGAACGAGGAAUUCCUUGUAAUCGCGGUUUAUCAGCCCGCGUUGAAUGCGUCCCUGCCCUUUGUACACACCGCCCGUCGCUCCUACCGAUGAAUCGUCCGGUGAAGUUCAUGGAGUGGUGGUUGUUCCAGCUGCUGUCGAAGUGAAAUGGACCUCACGAUUUAGAGGAAGGAGAAGUCGUAACA
This 309-nucleotide ribosomal RNA is filed under the name uncultured eukaryote. RNAcentral describes it as "partial 18S ribosomal RNA". It matches the Rfam family "Eukaryotic small subunit ribosomal RNA", at positions 1470 to 1796 of the family's 1831-position model. The record is from RNAcentral.